This 253-nucleotide ribosomal RNA is filed under the name uncultured bacterium. RNAcentral's name for it is "partial 16S ribosomal RNA". It matches the Rfam family "Bacterial small subunit ribosomal RNA", at positions 524 to 776 of the family's 1533-position model. The record is from RNAcentral.
UACGUAGGUGGCAAGCGUUGUCCGGAAUUAUUGGGCGUAAAGGGUGCGUAGGCGGCUCCUUAAGGGAGAUGUGAAAUCCCCGGGCUUAACCUGGGAACUGCAUUUCAAACUGGGGAGCUAGAGUGCAGGAGAGGAAAGUGGAAUUCCUAGUGUAGCGGUGAAAUGCGUAGAGAUUAGGAGGAACACCAGUGGCGAAGGCGACUUUCUGGACUGUAACUGACGCUGAGGCACGAAAGUGUGGGGAGCAAACAGG